RNAcentral lists this long non-coding RNA (575 nucleotides) under Linum usitatissimum (flax). RNAcentral describes it as "long non-coding RNA (LUSI_LNC002151)". Lineage: Eukaryota; Viridiplantae; Streptophyta; Magnoliopsida; Malpighiales; Linaceae. The record is from RNAcentral.
UAACAUAAAAAAUUGCUUUACCUUAAAAUAAAUUGGCGAAAUUAAUUAUUUUCUAGUUUCAACUUUCAACAAGUGACGUAAUAAUUCCUCGAAGAAAUGUUCAUCAAUGUCAGCCAGCUACUGCUCCCUUCGGAUGCAAAUGCAAAAUCGCGAUAGAGGAUUUUCGUGCUAGGCUGCUGUUCCACUCCUUCACCUUCCUCCGUAAAUGGACGUUGCUAUGCUUCUCUGAUCCAAAGCUAUUAGAUCUCAAAACCUCUGAUCUGAUCCGUCGCUGAUCGCCGUCGCUGCAAGGUACCGUACCUUUCCCUAUCCCUCUCAUUUCUUUCUCAGAUAACAGCUCGUCUGAUCUGGAGAGACAAAUGCGCACCUCUGUUCAUCUUUGCCGUUGCACUGUUUUGAUCUGCGGCUGUAUGACGGAAUUCUGAGUAGCUCAAUGUUCUUAGAUUCAAUUUUGAGCUCAAGUUCAUGCUCGCUCGCUCGCUUGCUUGCCUAUUUUCGUAUUUUUGUUUAUUUUGUUUCCAUUUCUGUUUCCAACUCUCAUAUCGUAGCUCUUUGCAAGGAUCCGAUCAGCUGAC